CCUACGGGUGGCAGCAGUGAGGAAUAUUGGUCAAUGGACGAGAGUCUGAACCAGCCAAGUAGCGUGAAGGAUGACUGCCCUAUGGGUUGUAAACUUCUUUUAUAUGGGAAUAAAACGUUCCACGUGUGGGAUUUUGUAUGUACCAUAUGAAUAAGGAUCGGCUAACUCCGUGCCAGCAGCCGCGGUAACACGGAGGAUCCGAGCGUUAUCCGGAUUUAUUGGGUUUAAAGGGAGCGUAGGUGGAUUGUUAAGUCAGUUGUGAAAGUUUGCGGCUCAACCGUAAAAUUGCAGUUGAAACUGGCAGUCUUGAGUACAGUAGAGGUGGGCGGAAUUCGUGGUGUAGCGGUGAAAUGCUUAGAUAUCACGAAGAACUCCGAUUGCGAAGGCAGUUCACUGGACUGCAACUGACACUGAGGCUCGAAAGUGUGGGUAUCAAACAGGAUUAGAUACCCCUGUAGUC
RNAcentral lists this ribosomal RNA (460 nucleotides) under uncultured bacterium. RNAcentral's name for it is "partial 16S ribosomal RNA". It matches the Rfam family "Bacterial small subunit ribosomal RNA", at positions 338 to 795 of the family's 1533-position model. The record is from RNAcentral.